AUGACGUCUUCAACAACCACUACAACUCUUGCUGAAUCAUCCACUACUACUGCAGGAGUUACCACGACAGCACCACAAACUACUUUUACAACAGCUGAAUCCUCCACAACAGCUACAACAACAGCAGAUCCUUCAACAACCACUACAACUAUUGCUGAAACAUCCACUACUACUGCAGGAGUUACCACGAUACCACCACAAUCUACUGUUACAACAGCAGAAUCCUCCACAACAGCUACAACAACAGCAGUUCCUUCAACAACCACUACAACUCUAACUGAAGCAUCCACUACUACUGCAGGAACAACCACAACAGCCCCACAAACUACUGUUACAACAGCAGAAUCCUCCACAACAGCAACAACAACAGCAGUGCCCUCAACAACCACUACAACUCUUGCUGAAUCAUCCACCACUACUCCAGGAGUUACCACAACAGCACCACAAACUACUGUUGCAACAGCAGAAUCCUCCACAACAGAUACAACAACAGCAGUGCCCUCAACAAUCACUACAGCUCUUGCUGAAUCAUCCACCACUAUUGCAGGAGUUACCACGACAGCACUACAAACUACUGUUACAACAGUUGAAUCCUCCACAACAGCAACAACAACAACAGUUCCCUCAACAACAAUUACAACUCUUGAUAAAUCAUCCACGACUACUGCAGGAGUUACCACAACAGCCCCACAAACUACUGUUACAACAGUAGAAUCCUCCACAACAUCUACAACAACAACAACAGUGCCCUCAACAACCAUUACAACUGUUGCUGAAUCAUCCACGACUACUGCAGGAGUUUCCACGACAGCACUACAAACUACUGUUACAACAGCAGAAUCCUCCACAACAGCUACAACAACAGCAGUUCCUUCAACAACCAUUACAACUCUUACUGAGGCAUCCACUACUACUGCAGGAGUUACCACAACAGCACCACAAACUACUGUUACAACAGCAGAAUCCUCCACAACAUCUACAACAACAACAACAGUGCCCUCAACAACCAUUACAACUGUUGCUGAAUCAUCGACCACUACUGCAGGAGUUACCACAACAGCACCACAAACUACUGUUACAACAGCAGAAUCCUCCACAACAGCUACAACAACAGCAGUUCCUUCAACAACCAUUACAACUCUUACUGAGGCAUCCACUACUACUGCAGGAGUUACCACAACAGCCCCACAAACUAGUGUUACAACAGCAGAAUCCUCCACAACAGCAACAACAACAGCAGUUCCUUCAACAACCAUUACAACUCUUACUGAGGCAUCCACUACUACUGCAGGAGUUACCACAACAGCACCACAAGCUACUGUUACAACAGCAGAAUCCUCCACAACAGCUAGAACAACAGCAGCAACAUCUGAAACACCAGCAACUUCAUCGCCAACAGGUUCAGCCACAGUCUUUACAUCAAUUAUUGGUACAUCCACCAGUGGUACAGCAAUAACCACAAAAGUGACACAAUCUAAAGUUACUACAGAGUCUACAGCAUCUAACACUUCUACAGAACCUGCAGUGUCUACAGCUGCUAUAGCUUCUACUGUAUCUACAGCUUCAACAGCAUCUACAGCAUCAACAGCAUCUACAACCUCUACAGCAUCUACAGCCUCUACAACAUCUACAACCUCUACAGCAUCUACAACCUCUACAGCAUCUACAACCUCCAAAGCAACUACUGCAAAAAUAAUACCUGAAGUGCUAACAGAUCUAGUGUUUAGCUCUUUUGAGACAUUUAUAGAUGCACUCAGUGAUGUCAACAGUGAGGAGUUUAAGAUUAGGUCUAAACUUGUCAAGGAUGAGCUUGAGCCUGUCUACAAAAUCAAGUAUUCUAACUUCCUCAGAUUGAAUGUCCUAAGAUUCAGGUAAAUACAGUAUAUUGCAAUAUGAAUUAUUUUAUGAAUGCUCUGUGUGUGUGUGUGUGUGUGUGUGUGUGUGUGUGUGUGUGUGUGUGUCUGUGUCUGUGUGUGUGUGUGUGCGCGAGUGGUCCUGGUGUUCCCUUAUUGUGGGAACCAAAUGUCCCCACAAGGAUAAUAAUACCAGUAAAUUUUGACUUUUUUUUGGUCCCCAUGAGAAAACAAACUUAAAUCAUACAGAAUUAUCUUUAAAAAAAAUCUAAAAUAGCAGAAAGUCUUGUGUGAGGGUUAAUGGUAGGGUUAGGGUAAGGGGAUAGAAAAUACUGUUUGUACAGUAUAAGAAUCAUUACACCUAUGGAAUGUCCUCAAAACAUGGAAACAUGUGUGUGUUCCUACUUAACAAUAUUUUAAAGGGGCCUCUGAAUUCUUGAUCCAGGCCUGGUUAGAGUUAGUUUAUAGUAUUUAAAACUAGCUGUAUUAAGCUGUCCUCAUUUAGAUAGUUAAGUAAGUGUGUGUGUGUGUGUGUGUGUGUGUGUGUGUGUGUGUGUGUGUGUGUGUGUGUGUGUGUGUGUGUGUGUGUGUGUGUGUGUGUGUGUGAGUAAAAGAGAGAGGGGAAAAAAGAAACUUGCAAUAAACAGAAUUUAUAAAGCUAAUAUUUAUUAAUUUCAACAUUUAUAUAUUCUAGAUCAGGGUCAAUCAUCACAUCAACACAACUAGCUUUCAGCUUCAACCAAACUAUCCCAUCUGUUCAAGAGAUUUCAAACACCCUCUUGGAAGCAGUGGGAACAGGGGAUGUCAAUCCAUUAAAGAUAAUCCCUGAAUCAAUUUCAGUCAAUGGUUCAGGUAAGAUGAACUACACACACUACUCAACUCUCAACUCAACUCAACUUUACUUAUAUAGCACCAAUAAAAACAAAAAUUGUAGACCAAGGUGCUGUACUAGAUUUAUAGUCUUCUAUACCUGUAACUAGUCUAUAACUAUGAGUCUAUUGGAAUGUUCAGCUAAUUUGCUUAUGUUUUUAUUACUGCUUCAGCUACAACUGUUGCUCCUGCAACAACUACAACAACCACCACCACAGCAACUACAGUUUCAGGCGGAUUAAAGAUUGAAUCCAGUCUGUUCCAAGCAAUAUGCCUCAUUAUUAUGUCUAAAAUAUUAAGCUUUUUCCUAUAGAUCCCUUAAACAUAUCAACCAAACAUGAGAGUUCAACAAGACACACUGUAACAAAUUAAUUAAACACAAAAUGUAUUUAUUAUUAUUAUUAUUAAAUGUAUAGUAUUUCUCAUUGUAGCACAUUCUCAAAUACUAGUAUUGAGCAACAUAAAGAUAACUUUGAUAAUGCAUUUUUGCUGAAGAAUAUAACAGUAGAUAUCUGUUUAACAGCAGGCUGUUUUCUGGGAGGGAGAAGUAGAUCUUUUUCCUUAUGUAUUUCCUUUAAAUGUAAACAUUGUGAAUGUUGUUUAACAGUUUUGAGGUUAAUACUGUUUAAACUACUUAUUUUUGUUUGUCUAAGUUCUAACAUUGUAAUAUGUAAUAUUUUAAUUAAAUACAAAUAUUUAUUAAAUGAUGUAGUCCAAAAUAUUUUGCUUUCAUAAAAAAAGACUACAAUACAACUACAGCACAAUAAAUACUAUAUAUGCUAAACCUGGCUUUUUAUGGUACAGUGUUCACUGUUCAAACAACCCUUACCAAAAAGCAGUAUACUUCAAGUUUAUUUUAUUAAGUAUACUUAAAUAAAGUUCAAGUAUAUUUUUAAGUAUAAUUUAUGUAGUAAGUAUACAAAUAUCAGUGCACUAGUAGUAUACCUGUACAUGUACUAUUUCAAUACUCAUUGGGACUAAAUUGGCCCACUUUCUAGUAUAUAAAAGUAUACAUUUAAGUAUACUUUAAGUAUAACAGUAGUAAACUUUGAGUACACUAGUUUACAUCAAUAUUUUUAGCUUGCACUCCAACUAUACUAAAAGUGAACUUAUAGGUAUAAUGAGAGUUUACUAAUUAAAUACUUGUAGCAUUUUUAGAACACUUUGAAGUAUAGUCU
Long non-coding RNA from Cyprinus carpio carpio, 3901 nucleotides. Lineage: Eukaryota; Metazoa; Chordata; Actinopteri; Cypriniformes; Cyprinidae. The record is from Ensembl.